GUGGCAGUAACCAUUAGUCCUAGGGUGUUCUGCCAUGUUGAAGCAAGCUGUGGUUAAGCUUAUUCGGGGGCCUUUGCACCAAGCCUGCUGGACAAAGUGGGGUCGGCGGGAACUUCGGCUGGAUCAUCUCCUACCUGUCACCCCGCUUCACAAGGACAGUGCUCUUUCUGAUAAAAGGAGUGAGCUGAAGAGACAUUUGAAGGAUGAGGAGAAGCUCAGUGAGAAGCAGCUGAGUCAAGCCCCUGCCACCAAUCACUCUGUUGACCAUGGUGUGCCCACUGACGAAGAGAUCCUGGAUCCACAUCAAUAUUACAAGAUCCGCAGCCAGGCGAUCCAGCAGCUGAAGAUCAAUGGAGAGGACCCCUACCCACACAAGUUCCACGUAGACACCUCACUCACCCGCUUUAUCAAGCAGUACAGUUAUUUGCAACCAGGGGACCAUCUGACUGAUGUCACCUUGAGAGUGGCAGGUCGUAUCCAUGCAAAACGGUCUGCAGGGAAAAAGCUCAUCUUUUAUGAUAUUCGAGGAGAGGGAGUCAAGCUGCAGGUCAAGGCCACGUCCAGGAAUUAUAAAUCAGAAGAAGAAUUUUUUCAUGUAAAUAACAAACUUCGACGGGGAGACAUUAUUGGGGUUCAGGGCAAUCCAGGGAAGACCAAGAAGGGAGAGCUGAGCAUCAUUCCCCAGGAGAUUACACUCCUGUCACCGUGUCUUCACAUGUUGCCUCACCUUCAUUAUGGCCUCAAAGACAAGGAAACACGUUAUCGCCAGCGAUACUUAGACUUGAUCCUGAAUAACUUUGUGAGACAGAAGUUCAUCACCCGCUCCAAGAUUAUUACCUACAUAAGGAGCUUCCUAGAUGAGUUGGGCUUCCUGGAGAUUGAAACUCCUAUGAUGAACUUCAUUCCAGGAGGAGCAGUGGCCAAGCCCUUUGUCACCUACCACAACGAGCUGGACAUGAACUUGUUUAUGAGAAUUGCCCCAGAGCUCUAUCACAAGAUGCUGGUGGUUGGUGGCAUUGACCGGGUUUAUGAAAUUGGACGUCAGUUCAGGAAUGAAGGAAUUGAUUUGACUCACAAUCCUGAAUUCACAACCUGUGAGUUCUACAUGGCAUAUGCAGACUACCAUGAUCUCAUGGAGAUCACUGAGAAGAUGAUUUCAGGAAUGGUGAAGAACAUUACAGGAAGUUACAAGGUCACCUAUCACCCAGAUGGCCCAGAGGGCCAGGCCUGUGAUAUUGACUUCACACCACCCUUCCAGAGAAUCAGCAUGGUGGAAGAGCUUGAGAAAGCUCUUGGCCUGAAGCUUCCUGAGACCAGUCUUUUUGAAACAGAAGAAACUCGUAAGGUUCUUGAUGACAUCUGUGUGGAGAGAGGUGUGGAGUGUCCCGCUCCCCGAACUACAGCCAGGCUUCUUGACAAGCUUGUAGGUGAGUUCCUGGAAGUGACCUGCAUCAACCCCACCUUCAUCUGUGACCACCCACAGAUAAUGAGCCCACUGGCCAAGUGGCAUCGCUCCAAGAACGGCCUUACUGAGCGCUUUGAGCUCUUCGUGAUGAAGAAGGAAAUAUGCAACGCCUACACCGAGCUGAAUGACCCUGUGCGGCAGCGGCAGCUUUUCGAAGAGCAGGCCAAGGCCAAAGCUGCAGGUGAUGAUGAGGCCAUGAUUAUGGAUGACAGUUUCUGCACUGCCCUGGAGUAUGGGCUUCCACCAACAGCUGGCUGGGGGAUGGGCAUUGACAGACUCACUAUGCUUCUUACAGACUCUAAUAAUAUUAAGGAGGUUCUUCUCUUUCCUGCCAUGAAACCAGAAAACAAGGAGAAUCCAGCAAACACUGGUUUAACAGAAGGCCCGUCAAUUGUUACCUUCUGCUAGAGGGUAACCCAUGUGACUUGACCAUCUUUUCUGACCUUGGAAAGAAAAUUCAGGGCCAGAAGGGACCACAUAGAGUCCACUCACCAAAGAUGUAUUAAGUACAUAGGACUUACCAGAAUUGUGCUGGGUACUAGGGGCUACGAGGACAAGAAUGCAGCCGACCCUUUCCUCACAGAGAAGCUCCAGGGUCCCACCACUCUCUAGUUUGAGAUGUUACUGAAAUGAGGAGGCACCCCCCAAGAAUGGCUUUCUGCAUCUCGUCCCUCAAUAAAUCCUGUCAGUCUUUUGCUGCUCACCUUCAUUUCCCCCAACCUUGGAACGCCUCUGUUCCAAGUGCUUAUAUAGGCACAGCUGCUUUCUCAGGCUCGUGCAGGACUUGGUGCUGGCAGUGAACAGAAAGUGGUCCUUUUUCUGUAAAGAGCCACAACUGAGAGCGAAAUGCUUCCUUUUCAAGAUUCAAGAAAGCAGAAAACAUCCCACAGGCGGUGUGGCAUGGUGGGGGAAUGAUGGUAUUUGGACCCUGGUUGUGGAUGCCCAAUCUGUUCCUUACAGUGGGGCAGCUUGAGCUAUCCAAUUUUCCUGACAUUGAAUGAUGGAAAAGAGAUGAGAGAAGGGUUUAUAAACUCUCAGUUCUGUCUCAGCCACUCCAGAGGUACCAGCUCUUCCUGUUUGGAAGCCAGUUAGAAGACUGUUUGUCAUCACACAGUAUUGGCCCUUCAGUCCUGAUGCUUACCAGCAAUCUAACCCUGGGCCAAUCAGUCACAUUUCACCUCCUCUGAACUUCAGUUUCCUUAUCUCUAAAAUGGGGCUAAUCCUUGUGCUUCAUAGAAUAAUUGUGAGGUAAGCACCUAGGAACCUUGAAAGCACUUUAUGGAUGGCUUAUUUCUCAUUGUGAUAUUGUCUUAUUCAAGAGAAACACUAGUAAACAUUUGUUGAACUGA
Molecule: non-coding RNA, 2814 nt
Organism: Phascolarctos cinereus (koala)
Lineage: Eukaryota; Metazoa; Chordata; Mammalia; Diprotodontia; Phascolarctidae
Source: RefSeq, a predicted model, not a curated record